Molecule: ribosomal RNA, 497 nt
Filed under: uncultured bacterium
Lineage: Bacteria
Description: partial 16S ribosomal RNA
Rfam family: Bacterial small subunit ribosomal RNA
Source: RNAcentral
GAUGAACGCUGGCGGCGUGCCUAAUACAUGCAAGUCGAGCGAACAGACGAGGAGCUUGCUCCUUCGACGUUAGCGGCGGACGGGUGAGUAACACGUAGGUAACCUACCUAUAAGACUGGGAUAAUUUCGGGAAACCGGAGCUAAUACCGGAUAAUAUUUCGAACCGCAUGGUUCGAUAGUGAAAGACGGCUUUGCUAUCACUUAUAGAUGGACCUGCGCCGUAUUAGCUAGUUGGUAAGGUAACGGCUUACCAAGGCAACGAUACGUAGCCGACCUGAGAGGGUGCUCGGCCACACUGGAACUGAGACACGGUCCAGACUCCUACGGGAGGCAGCAGUAGGGAAUCUUCCGCAAUAGGCGAAAGCCUGACGGAGCAGCGCCGCGUGAGUGAUGAAGGUCUUCGGAUCGUAAAGCUCUGUUAUUAGGGAAGAACAAACGUGUAAGUAACUGUGCACGUCUUGACGGUACCUAAUCAGAAAGCCACGGCUAACUACGUG